This 76-nucleotide microRNA precursor is filed under the name Myotis lucifugus (little brown bat). Its description in RNAcentral is "mir-9229 microRNA precursor family". It matches the Rfam family "mir-9229 microRNA precursor family". Lineage: Eukaryota; Metazoa; Chordata; Mammalia; Chiroptera; Vespertilionidae. The record is from Rfam by way of RNAcentral.
GAGACAAUCUUAUGGAGCAGGACUUGCUUCAGUGGGGCUUUGGUGCUCACUGAGUCUGCCCCCUGAGUCCCUCGCU